UACGGAAGGUCCGGGCGUUAUCCGGAUUUAUUGGGUUUAAAGGGAGCGUAGGCCGGAGAUUAAGCGUGUUGUGAAAUGUAGACGCUCAACGUCUGCACUGCAGCGCGAACUGGUUUCCUUGAGUACGCACAAAGUGGGCGGAAUUCGUGGUGUAGCGGUGAAAUGCUUAGAUAUCACGAAGAACUCCGAUUGCGAAGGCAGCUCACUGGAGCGCAACUGACGCUGAAGCUCGAAAGUGCGGGUAUCGAACAGGAUUAGAUACCCCAGUCCGACUGACUGACU
RNAcentral lists this ribosomal RNA (282 nucleotides) under Segatella copri DSM 18205. Its description in RNAcentral is "Prevotella copri DSM 18205 partial 16S ribosomal RNA". It matches the Rfam family "Bacterial small subunit ribosomal RNA", at positions 524 to 805 of the family's 1533-position model. The record is from RNAcentral. Lineage: Bacteria; Pseudomonadati; Bacteroidota; Bacteroidia; Bacteroidales; Prevotellaceae.